AGAGAGAGGAGCAGCUGGACCCGGAGGACCCAUUGGUCUAACAGGACGCAAUGGCCCUCAAGGACCCCCGGGACCUGCUGGAGAGAAGGGUGCUCCGGGUGAGAAAGGACCUGCUGGUCCUGCCGGCCGGGAUGGCAUCCAAGGUCCAGUUGGACUCCCAGGCCCAGCCGGACCUCAGGGUCAACCUGGAGAGGAUGGUGACAAGGGAGAAGUUGGAGAACCUGGUCAAAAGGGAAGCAAGGGUGACAAAGGCGAA
RNAcentral lists this long non-coding RNA (256 nucleotides) under Sinocyclocheilus anshuiensis. Its description in RNAcentral is "lncRNA (ENSSANG00000044510.1)". Lineage: Eukaryota; Metazoa; Chordata; Actinopteri; Cypriniformes; Cyprinidae. The record is from RNAcentral.